CGGAGGAGCUUGAACGCCCCGCAUCAUUUAAAUCCCCUGUCUGGGAGCAUUUUGGCUUCCCUGUCAAAUAUAAUGAUGAAGGAAAGAGGUUGGUGGAUAAAACCGUGACGGCGUGUAGGCACUGUGGCACAAGAAAGCCAUAUGACAGCGGUAACACAUCAAGCAUGGCGACGCAUUUGAAGCGACAUCACCCCGGUGUUUUACUGACAGGAGUGAAAACGAAGGCUGCUCAACAACCGCUUAUCACCGCGGCAUUUAAGCAGCCCCUUGAUGUACAAUCAGACCGGGCUAAAGCCAUCACAAACGCUAUCGGUGUGUUUAUAGGUGCAGACAUGAGGCCAUAUUCGGUUGUGCAAAACGAGGGCUUUAAACACAUGCUGAAAGUGCUUGAGCCACGUUACAACAUCCCGUCGCGCACCCACUUCAGCGAAAAGGUCGUGCCAGAUCUUUAUAAGCAGGAGAAGAAAAAAGUUGUGGAUGAACUAGCGCAAGCAUCCUCUAUUUCGCUUACGACAGACGGGUGGACGUCCAGAGGAACGCAGAGCUAUUUGACGAUAACCGCUCACUUCAUCACAGCAGACUGGGAGAUGAGAAGUCCGGUGCUGCAGACACGCCCCCUAUACGAAAGUCACACAGGCACUCAUCUUGCGCAGGUACUAACACAAGCAGUGGAGGAAUGGAAGAUAAAGAGGCCCACUACUAAUAUCCCAGUCACAACUGAUAAUGCCAAAAAUCAAAUAAAUGCAGUGAAUGAGGCAGGACUGGGCCCACAGAUAGGGUGCUUUGCACAUGUAGUAAAUUUGGCAUCACAAAAGGGAAUCUCAGUCAAUAGGAUGGACCGCCUCCUUGGGAGGAUCAGGAAGGUUGUUUCCUACUUUCACCGAAGCACAACAGCUGCUCAUGUGCUUAAGACAAAGCAAGAAAUGUUAAAGUUGCCUACUCAUAAGCUCAUGCAUGACGUUCCAACAAGGUGGAACUCCACUUAUGAUAUGUUGGAGCGUUAUCUGGAGCAGCAGGCAGCUAUAUACUCUGCAUUGACCGACAAGACCCUAAAGAAAAAUAUCAAAGACAUCAUCACCCUAUCAGAUGAUGAUGUGAGAGUGGCAGAGUAGGUUCUCCAGGUGCUUAAACCACUCAAAACUGUUACAUCUCUGCUGAGCACUGAAACUUCACCAUCUGUGUCAAUGAUCCUGCCUCUGAAAACAAGGAUUCUACAAUCCAUGGCUCCAAGUGUGGACGACAGCACGAUCACUCGAGAUGUCAAGACUGCCAUUAGAGAGGACCUGGAGCCCAGAUACACUUCACCCCCUACUCUACAGGACUACCUUCACAGAUCUACUGCCCUGGAUCUGAGGUUCAAGUCCCUGUCUCACAUGGACCCUGCUCUACGCCAGAGGAUAUACAGUGACCUCACCACUGAGAUUGUGAGCCGUCUGGGCACUGAAGACUGUGAUGAGGGUCAAGCUACAGAACCAACAGGAGCAAACUUGGACACAUCUCCUCCAAAAAAGAAGUCAGCGAUGGAAGAGCUUUUUGGUGAGACCUUUGCCAGCAAAGACAUGGACAGCAAAACUCCUGCUGACAUCAUCAAAGAGGAGGUGGCAUCCUACCUGGCAGCAAGCUGCAUUACAGUGGAUGGUGAUCCACUGACAUGGUGGAAAAGCAAUGAGUGUAAAUACCCUCAUAUUGCGAAGAUGGCAAGAUGCUAUCUCGCUGUGCCAGGCUCUUCAGUUCCUUCUGAAAGAGUGUUCUCAACAGCAGGGGACAUAGUGACUGCAAAGAGGUCCACACUCUCCCCAGACAAUGUAGACAUCCUUGUGUUUUUGAAAAAGAAUUUGAAAUUAUAAGCUCAGGUAUGCUUUGCUUUCUUUCUUUUAUUUAUCUUUGAUUAUGUGGACAUAGGCUUUAUUUCAUUAUCCAUGUUUCAAGGAAGAUGAUGUGCCAGUUCUUAUGUUGCACUUUAAGUUGUUUUUUAUCAAUGGUCAUUGUUCAUUGGUCCAUGUUAAAAGGAAGGAGACAUGCCUUUUAUGUUGCACUUUAAGUUGUUUUUUAUUAAUGGUCAAUGGUCAUUGUUUAUUGGUCCAUGUUUAAAGGAAGGAGACAUGCCUUUUAUG
RNA transcript from Paramisgurnus dabryanus, 2114 nucleotides. It is a transcript of the gene named E3 SUMO-protein ligase ZBED1-like, with no coding region annotated. The record is from RefSeq and is a predicted model, not a curated record. Lineage: Eukaryota; Metazoa; Chordata; Actinopteri; Cypriniformes; Cobitidae.